CCUACGGGAGGCAGCAGUGAGGAAUAUUGGUCAAUGGGCGCGAGCCUGAACCAGCCAAGUCGCGUGAGGGAAGACGGUCCUAUGGAUUGUAAACCUCUUUUGUCGGGGAGCAAAAGACGCCACGCGUGGCGUUCCGAGAGUACCCUAAGAAAAAGCAUCGGCUAACUCCGUGCCAGCAGCCGCGGUACUACGGAGGAGGCGAUCGUUAUCCUGAUGUAUUGGGUUUAAAGGGUGCGCAGGCGGAAGAGCAAGUCAGCGGUAAAAUUGAGAGGCUCAACCCCUUCGAGCCGUUGAAACUGGUUUGCUUGAGUGAGUGAGAAGUAUGCGGAAUGCGUGGUGUAGCGGUGAAAUGCAUAGAUAUCACGCAGAACUCCGAUUGCGAAGGCAGCAUACCGGCGCUCAACUGACGCUCAUGCACGAAAGUGUGGGUAUCGAACAGGAUUAGAUACCCUUGUAGUC
This 459-nucleotide ribosomal RNA is filed under the name uncultured bacterium. RNAcentral describes it as "partial 16S ribosomal RNA". It matches the Rfam family "Bacterial small subunit ribosomal RNA", at positions 338 to 795 of the family's 1533-position model. The record is from RNAcentral.